CAUGACCUGAGCUGAAGUCGGACACUCGACCUACUGGGCCACCCAGGUAAAAGGUGAAAGCAACCGAGUGUCCAUCCACGGAGGAGUGGAUAGGAAGAAUGUGGCCCGUUCGUACACUGGAAGAUUCUUCAGCCUUAAAAAGGAAGGCUGUCCUGACCCCAGCUACAACAGGGACGAACCUGGAGGACGUUACGCUGAGUGAGGCUCAGCGUAACACCUGACGGAAGGAAGAAGCCCAAGAUCGAUUUGUUAAAAGAAACAACGGAUGAGAGAAUAAAUCGGGAACUGAAAUGUGAAUAGGAACGGACGUAGCAUGAUUGCAGCCAAGGCAAUAUGGGGAGAAUGUUACACAGACAAGUCAAGGAAGUCGAGGCCACUACAGUGCAGCUGACGGGGGAAUCUUUUUCAGAUGGACCAUAAGCAGGAAGUGAGACUUCCUUUCGGCCCCAGGGAGAGGACUCAGAUAGAGGCUCCCCCAAAAGACCCCUCCUCCAGGAAGCCUGCCUGGAACGUUUUCCCUUUUCAGCCUGACUGAACUCAUCCGGUGCCUUGGACACUUAAACAUACUGGCUGUCUCAGGUGCACUCGAGGCUCAGCGUACCCCUGCCGUGGAGGAGUCUGGCAGACCGUCAAACAAAAACUGCCGAUAACCUCAAUCAUGGCACCCACCGUCAACGUCACACAGAACAGGGAACGGGUCCCGCCGCCACGGCCACCGCCGCUGCCACGCUCACAGCGCUGGCCGUCCACGGCCACACACGACCAACCUCCACUAAGGCCGCCGUUCCCACACCACCAUCGCCAGGGCGGUCGUCAAAAAUCAGCAACGGACGACCAACAGCCAAAAGCGCUGCCAUCACCGCCCCACUCAGGGCAAGAGCGGCCACCGACUACCGUCACUCCACGGAUCAGCCCUGAAGACGACCAGCCACCAACCACAGAUCAACACCGGCUGGCAGGCGGCAACCAUCGCCCCUGCCGACACGCGCCCACGGGACUCACAGUUACCGCCAACUUGCGACGACCGUGGGCGAUGACCACCACCACCCUCCCCACCCCCCCCCACCCCCGGGCACCCACCACCCAUCAUUCAACAGCAACCGAGAGUCGCCUCCCCCGGCUGCCAUCACUAACGACAGCAAUGAAUGGGCAUCGCCCACGGGGACUGCAUCGAGGGCACAGCGCGGGGCUUGGGGAAGCACUUGAAGCACACUGCUCCGUUGACUCCUUCCACACUCUUCCUGGCACUCAUCGCCCCCGCCAGGAAGCAGUCGGCACCCCUGGAUGGAAGUUUUGGCCUCGUGGAUGGGGUCUGCCCUCUGUUUUCCCCUCCGUGGUCCUCUUGGGUUGAGCUUCUCCCUUCCCGCAACCCGACAGGAGAGCAAACCAUUGACUAAGCAUUUUGUACAGCUUCCUUGCGAGGGGGUGGAUUUCUUUCAAAUAGCAAAUCGUUUCCUGUGUUCUUUUGAUCUCCGUCUCCCCAUCCGAGCGCCCGAGCCUUCCUGGCUUGGCUCCUUCUUCGAGGAAUUCCCAUCCGAAGCCCGGGGCUCUAAGCUGCCACUUUGGUGGGUGAGCCACCCAGAGGGGUCCUCGGCCAGUGACCCCCGGUUCGUCACGGGCUUUCUGAAACGAGGAGGGGCUCUCUCCCAGACGGACGCGGUCCCUGCCGUCUGGCCCACCACCCUGCCUCCACCUUGGUCAGGUGCCCGCGGCGGCUGGCUGGGUGACUGUCCCAGCCACAUGCUGUCAUUGACAGAGUGACAAAAAAUGAAAGUCGAAGUGGUUUGCAGAUGCGUGGAGCGGUGGGGGCACAUCUUAGAGCCAGGCUGGGCUCUCUCUUUACGUGUGUGUUAGGAGGCUGCUGGGUCUAGACCCACGAUAGUGACGGUUUCCUGAACCCCGUCACCGCAGUCAUCGCCAGACCUCAGCCUCACCAGGUGGUGAUGCGGCUGGCGGCAGGGUGUCCCCUGCCAUACUUGCUUGGAAGGCUUCCGGGAGCGGUGUGGCCCUGCCGGGCCUCACCGCCUCCUGUUUCUGUGAUCGCUACAGCCAGACAUGCAGGCACACUGCCACGACACCAUCGCUGCCCCCCAUUGCCCACUGGACACAGCUUCUGGCCGCAGCUGUGGACUCAGAGUGGCCGAGCCCGCAGACCCUGUGAAGUUCGGAGACUUUCCCGGAACACCUUCCCUAUCACCACUGACUUCCAAAUAUGACAUGUGUGGGAACUGAGGCCCAGAGAGGGGAAGUGGCUUGCCCCAGGCCACACAGGAAGAUGAGGGACCGGGAUGAGCUGGAAACUGGCUCUCUAAGCCCUGACAAAGGGGACAUGGCAGUUCGGAGAGGUCGGCGCCUCCCGGCCAGGAGGAGGAGGAGGAGGUCGAGGCCGAGGCAGGCGA
This is a long non-coding RNA of Herpailurus yagouaroundi (jaguarundi), 2399 nucleotides long. RefSeq lists it as uncharacterized. Lineage: Eukaryota; Metazoa; Chordata; Mammalia; Carnivora; Felidae. The transcript has 6 exons. The record is from RefSeq and is a predicted model, not a curated record.